This 443-nucleotide ribosomal RNA is filed under the name uncultured bacterium. Its description in RNAcentral is "partial 16S ribosomal RNA". It matches the Rfam family "Bacterial small subunit ribosomal RNA", at positions 338 to 795 of the family's 1533-position model. The record is from RNAcentral.
CCUACGGGGGGCUGCAGUGGGGAAUAUUGGGCAAUGGGCGCAAGCCUGACCCAGCAACGCCGCGUGAAGGAAGAAGGCUCUCGGGUUGUAAACUUCUUUUAUCAGGGACGAAGCAAGUGACGGUACCUGAUGAAUAAGCCACGGCUAACUACGUGCCAGCAGCCGCGGUAAUACGUAGGUGGCAAGCGUUAUCCGGAUUUACUGGGUGUAAAGGGCGUGUAGGCGGGAAAGCAAGUCAGAUGUGAAAACCAUGGGCUCAACCUGUGGCCUGCAUUUGAAACUGUUUUUCUUGAGUACUGGAGAGGCAGACGGAAUUCCUAGUGUAGCGGUGAAAUGCGUAGAUAUUAGGAAGAACACCAGUGGCGAAGGCGGAUGACUGGACGACAACUGACGGUGAGGCGCGAAAGCGUGGGGAGCAAACAGGAUUAGAUACCCCAGUAGUC